UCGCGAUCGGGAAAGAAGCCACGGAGGUCGGGAGCUGUCGGAGGCGGAGAGGCUGGAGGACGGAGUCAGCGCGGCGGCGAUGGCCGACCUUCUGAACUGUCUCUCAGCAGGCGAUCCAGGCUCAAAAUCUCUACUCCUCCCAGAUGAGAUUUUGGAGAAACUUGCCAAAGCAGGAUCGGGUUGUCGUUUGAAACAAGUACAGCCUCCUCCUUUGAGUGUGGAAUGCAUCUAGGAGACAGUUGCAAGGAAACGAAAGCUGGAGAAGAUCUUGAGAUGCGUGCCUACUGUACCAGUCAGCCAGCCAUCAAGCCACCUGUGGAUUGGCUGGAGUUCAAAUGGACAUUAUGACUUUGGUGGGAUUUUAUUGAUACCAAUAACAUAACUUUCCAUUCAUUUAUUGGUUUUUCAUGUAACAUUUACAUGCUUUUUGCAUGAAAAACUGACAAGCUCUAAUAUCAGAUUAAACAACAAGUUUCCAUCUU
Long non-coding RNA from Crotalus tigris (Tiger rattlesnake), 482 nucleotides. RefSeq lists it as uncharacterized. Lineage: Eukaryota; Metazoa; Chordata; Lepidosauria; Squamata; Viperidae. The transcript is spliced from 2 exons. The record is from RefSeq and is a predicted model, not a curated record.